AUACGAAGGGGGUAAGCGUUGUUCGGAAUAACUGGGCGUAAAGCGCACGUAGGCGGAUUGAUCAGUUAGAGGUGAAAUCCCAGGGCUCAACCCUGGAACUGCCUUUAAUACUGUCAGUCUAGAGAUCGAGAGAGGUGAGUGGAAUUCCGAGUGUAGAGGUGAAAUUCGUAGAUAUUCGGAGGAACACCAGUGGCGAAGGCGGCUCACUGGCUCGAUACUGACGCUGAGGUGCGAAAGCGUGGGGAGCAAACAGGAUUAGAAACCCGAGUAGUCC
This 274-nucleotide ribosomal RNA is filed under the name uncultured bacterium. Its description in RNAcentral is "partial 16S ribosomal RNA". It matches the Rfam family "Bacterial small subunit ribosomal RNA", at positions 523 to 796 of the family's 1533-position model. The record is from RNAcentral.